GGAGGUAGCUUGGUGGCCGAGCCUCUGCCUUGCAUGCAGAAGGUUCCAGGUUCAAUUCCCAGCAUCUCCA
Molecule: non-coding RNA, 70 nt
Organism: Podarcis lilfordi (Lilford's wall lizard)
Lineage: Eukaryota; Metazoa; Chordata; Lepidosauria; Squamata; Lacertidae
Source: the annotation of a GenBank genome assembly